GCUAAACGCGAAGAACCUUACCAAGGCUUGACAUAUACGAGAACGCUCUAGAAAUAGAGAACUCUUUGGACACUCGUAUACAGGUGGUGCAUGGUUGUCGUCAGCUCGUGUCGUGAGAUGUUGGGUUAAGUCCCGCAACGAGCGCAACCCUCGUUCUAUGUUGCCAGCGGUUCGGCCGGGAACUCAUAGGAGACUGCCGGGGUCAACUCGGAGGAAGGUGGGGAUGACGUCAAAUCAUCAUGCCCCUUAUGUCUUGGGCUUCACGCAUGCUACAAUGGCCGGUACAAAGGGCUGCAAUACCGUAAGGUGGAGCGAAUCCCAAAAAGCCGGUCUCAGUUCGGAUUGAGGUCUGCAACUCGACCUCAUGAAGUCGGAGUCGCUAGUAAUCGCAGAUCAGCAACGCUGCGGUGAAUACGUUCCCGGGUCUUGUACACACCG
This 438-nucleotide ribosomal RNA is filed under the name uncultured bacterium. RNAcentral describes it as "bacterial SSU rRNA". It matches the Rfam family "Bacterial small subunit ribosomal RNA", at positions 954 to 1392 of the family's 1533-position model. The record is from RNAcentral.